GGGGAAAGAAUUCAACAGGUACAGUGCGGGACUUGAAUACCUGAGGCUUCAGGUUCCAUCCCUGGUGUCCUCU
This 73-nucleotide transfer RNA is filed under the name Erinaceus europaeus (western European hedgehog). It matches the Rfam family "tRNA". From Rfam's summary of the family: Transfer RNA (tRNA) molecules are approximately 80 nucleotides in length. Their secondary structure includes four short double-helical elements and three loops (D, anti-codon, and T loops). Further hydrogen bonds mediate the characteristic L-shaped molecular structure. tRNAs have two regions of fundamental functional importance: the anti-codon, which is responsible for specific mRNA codon recognition, and the 3' end, to which the tRNAs corresponding amino acid is attached (by aminoacyl-tRNA synthetases). tRNAs cope with the degeneracy of the genetic code in two manners: having more than one tRNA (with a specific anti-codon) for a particular amino acid; and 'wobble' base-pairing, i.e. permitting non-standard base-pairing at the 3rd anti-codon position. Lineage: Eukaryota; Metazoa; Chordata; Mammalia; Eulipotyphla; Erinaceidae. The record is from Rfam by way of RNAcentral.